RNAcentral lists this ribosomal RNA (468 nucleotides) under uncultured bacterium. Its description in RNAcentral is "partial 16S ribosomal RNA". It matches the Rfam family "Bacterial small subunit ribosomal RNA", at positions 28 to 507 of the family's 1533-position model. The record is from RNAcentral.
GACGAACGCUGGCGGCGUGCUUAACACAUGCAAGUCGAACGGAAAGGCCCUGCUUUUGUGGGGUGCUCGAGUGGCGAACGGGUGAGUAACACGUGAGUAACCUGCCCUUGACUUUGGGAUAACUUCAGGAAACUGGGGCUAAUACCGGAUAGGAGCUCCUGCUGCAUGGUGGGGGUUGGAAAGUUUCGGCGGUUGGGGAUGGACUCGCGGCUUAUCAGCUUGUUGGUGGGGUAGUGGCUUACCAAGGCUUUGACGGGUAGCCGGCCAGGGAGGGUGACCGGGCACAUUGGGACUGGGGAACGGCCCAGAUUCCGACCGGAGGCAACAGGGGGGGAUAUUGCACAAAGGGCGGAAGGCCUGUGCAAGAACGCCGGGUGCGGGAUGACGGCCUUCGGGUGGUAAACCGCUUUCGCCUGGGACGAAGCGUGAGUGACGGUAAUGGGUAGAGAAGCACCGGCUAACUACGUG